Long non-coding RNA from Sabethes cyaneus, 499 nucleotides. RefSeq lists it as uncharacterized. Lineage: Eukaryota; Metazoa; Arthropoda; Insecta; Diptera; Culicidae. The record is from RefSeq and is a predicted model, not a curated record. The transcript has 3 exons.
AGAAACUAAUGGUGUUUUGUAUUUUAGUUGUGAUCAGCCGUAGUGCAGCGCAAUACGAAAACAAUUUUAUGGCAACUUUUGGAUGUCUACAAUACAACGCCCACGAUGGCUACGGAGCAACUCAUCCAUAUUUUCCAAUAGCCAGUUUUCGGUACAUUCACUCUACGGCCAAUGUGACCCGAAUUCGAGUGGGAGUUCUUGGAAGAAACGACGGCUACAUCCGGCUUGCACCGGUUGAAUAUCCUUUCGACAACGCCGUAAUGCAUGAAAUUGUUCUCGACCAGCGAUCCGCAGUUCGUCGGUAUAUUCGUGCAGCACCCAACAUCGUCAGAGACACCGUUGUUCUACGGGAACAAGCCACCAAUGGUUUGCUCUCACAGUUUAAAUCAUUGUUUGUUACGAUUGAAUUUUAUCCCAAUUUACUUACUUACUUAUGUGUCCAUGUCCGCCGGUCCGGCAGAACAAAGGGAUGAAAUCAGAGAUCUCCACUGCUGACGGU